GGAAGGUGCGAGCGUUAAUCGGAAUUACUGGGCGUAAAGCGCGCGUAGGCGGCUAGAUAAGUCGGGUGUGAAAGCCCCGGGCUCAACCUGGGAACUGCAUUCGAUACUGUCUGGCUAGAGUGUGAUAGAGGAAGGCGGAAUUCCGCAUGUAGCGGUGAAAUGCGUAGAGAUGCGGAGGAACACCAAUGGCGAAGGCAGCCUUCUGGAUUAACACUGACGCUGAGGUGCGAAAGCGUGGGGGGAGCAAACAGGAUUAGAUACCCUGGUAGUCCACGCUGUAAACGAUGUCAACUAGCCGUUGGGAGCAAUUUGGCUCUUGGUGGCGUAGCUAACGCGAUAAGUUGACCGCCUGGGGUAGUACGGUCGCAAGAUUA
Molecule: ribosomal RNA, 374 nt
Filed under: uncultured organism
Description: partial 16S ribosomal RNA
Rfam family: Bacterial small subunit ribosomal RNA
Source: RNAcentral